This 638-nucleotide long non-coding RNA is filed under the name Pogona vitticeps (central bearded dragon). RNAcentral's name for it is "lncRNA (ENSPVIG00000016049.1)". Lineage: Eukaryota; Metazoa; Chordata; Lepidosauria; Squamata; Agamidae. The record is from RNAcentral.
CCUGGUGACACACCUGAUUGUCCAACCUAGAUGUGCCCUGGCUUCUCAACAAUUGGCUGUGGCAAAUAAGACAAACUUUACAUGAACACCAAUAGAAUUCUAGUUGUUAUAAGUAUCACUAUCUGCAAGUAGGGAUGUGGUCAACAAGAAAAGCACCGCCACUGGAUCAAAAAGGUCUGGUUCACAAAAUCCUAUACAUCACCUGGAUGAUAGAAAAUAGCUUGCACGUGAUAAGCGGUUCACGACACAAGAUAGCACCAAUUCAUGUCUAGCACCAAGCACACAGAGAAAGAUGGACAAAUUUAGAACACGGGCAGGCAAAACACAACAAUGAAAUGGGAAGAACCCUUGUGAACUGACCCAUCGCCCAAUCCAUACUACAACAGUGAAGGAGAGCACCAUAAGGAAACAGAAUGGAAAGAAUAAACCUUGGAGGAAUGACUUCAGGAUUUUGUGGGCAAGUUCAUGCAAGUUUUAAAAUCCUAUAUGGUCAUUCUGAUGUGGUGGUCCAUGAAAAUGUGUGUCACAACAAUUGUGUUAAUCUUGGAAGUAACACAAAUCUUUUGUAUACAUUGAUAGGACCGCUUUCACUCAGUGGUUUAUGUCAGCAUGGCAUUGAUCAAACUUUGCUGAGUUGA